RNAcentral lists this ribosomal RNA (506 nucleotides) under uncultured bacterium. RNAcentral's name for it is "partial 16S ribosomal RNA". It matches the Rfam family "Bacterial small subunit ribosomal RNA", at positions 29 to 523 of the family's 1533-position model. The record is from RNAcentral.
AGUGAACGCUGGCGGUAGGCCUAACACAUGCAAGUCGAACGGCAGCACAGGAGAGCUUGCUCUCUGGGUGGCGAGUGGCGGACGGGUGAGGAAUACAUCGGAAUCUACUCUGUCGUGGGGGAUAACGUAGGGAAACUUACGCUAAUACCGCAUACGACCUACGGGUGAAAGCAGGGGAUCUUCGGACCUUGCGCGAUUGAAUGAGCCGAUGUCGGCUUAGCUAGUUGGCGGGGUAAAGGCCCACCAAGGCGACGACCCGUAGCUGGACUGAGAGGAUGAUCCGCCACACUGGAACGGAGACACGGUACAGACUCCGCCGGGAGUCAGCGGUGGAGAAUAGUGGACAAUGGGCGCAAGCCUGAUCCAGCCAUACCGCGUGGGUGAAGAAGGCCUUCGGGUUGUAAAGCCCUUUUGGUGGGAAAGAAAUCCAGCUGGCUAAUACCCGGUUGGGAUGACGGUACCCAAAGAAUAAGCACCGGCUAACUUCGUGCCAGCCGCCGCGGUAA